RNAcentral lists this ribosomal RNA (497 nucleotides) under uncultured bacterium. RNAcentral's name for it is "partial 16S ribosomal RNA". It matches the Rfam family "Bacterial small subunit ribosomal RNA", at positions 28 to 507 of the family's 1533-position model. The record is from RNAcentral.
GAUGAACGCUGGCGGCGUGCCUAAUACAUGCAAGUCGAGCGAACGGACGAGAAGCUUGCUUCUCUGAUGUUAGCGGCGGACGGGUGAGUAACACGUGGAUAACCUACCUAUAAGACUGGGAUAACUUCGGGAAACCGGAGCUAAUACCGGAUAAUAUUUUGAACCGCAUGGUUCAAAAGUGAAAGACGGUCUUGCUGUCCCUUAUAGAUGGAUCCGCGCUGCAUUAGCUAGUUGGUAAGGUAACGGCUUACCAGGGCAACGAUGCAUAGCCGACCUGAGAGGGUGAUCGGCCACACUGGAACUGAGACACGGUCCAGACUCCUACGGGAGGCAGCAGUAGGGAAUCUUCCGCAAUGGGCGAAAGCCUGACGGAGCAACGCCGCGUGAGUGAUGAAGGUCUUCGGAUCGUAAAACUCUGUUAUUAGGGAAGAACAUAUGUGUAAGUAACUGUGCACAUCUUGACGGUACCUAAUCAGAAAGCCACGGCUAACUACGUG